GCGCUGUGGUGAUGACACUGACUGGUCGUCAUUAGCCUGAAAUGAUCCGUGUAGGUUUUCAGUCACUACCUCUUCUGAACAGCUC
Small nucleolar RNA from Synchiropus splendidus (mandarinfish), 85 nucleotides. RefSeq annotates it as small nucleolar RNA SNORD11B. The transcript has a single exon. The record is from RefSeq and is a predicted model, not a curated record. Lineage: Eukaryota; Metazoa; Chordata; Actinopteri; Syngnathiformes; Callionymidae.